UACGUAGGCAGCAAGCGUUGUUCGGAAUUACUGGGCGUAAAGAGUGUGUAGGCGGUGUUCUAAGUCUGUUGUGAAAUCUCCCGGCUUAACUGGGAGGGUGCGGCGGAAACUGGAAUGCUAGAGGAUGGGAGAGGUAAGCGGAAUUCCUGGUGUAGCGGUGAAAUGCGCAGAUAUCAGGAGGAACACCGGUGGCGAAGGCGGGUCUCUGGGCCGGAACUGACGCUGAGGAGCGAAAGCGUGGGGAGCGAACAGG
Molecule: ribosomal RNA, 253 nt
Filed under: uncultured bacterium
Lineage: Bacteria
Description: partial 16S ribosomal RNA
Rfam family: Bacterial small subunit ribosomal RNA
Source: RNAcentral